GAUGAACGCUGGCGGCGUGCCUAAUACAUGCAAGUCGAGCGAACGGACGAGAAGCUGGCUUCUCUGAUGUUAGCAGCGGACGGGUGAGGAACACGUGGAUAACCUACCUAUAAGACUGGGAUAACUUCGGGAAACCGGAGCUAAGACCGGAUGAUAUUUUGAACCGCAUGGUUCAAGAGUGAAAGACGGUCUUGCUGUCACUUAUAGAUUGAUCCGCUCUGCAUUAGCUAGUUGGUAAGGUAACGGCUUACCAAGGCAACGAUGCAUAGCCGACCUGAGAGGGUGAUCGGACACACUGGAAGUGAGAAACGGUCCAGACUCCUACGGGAGGCAGCAGUAGGGAAUCUUCCGCAAUGGGCGAAAGCCUGACGGAGCAACGCGGCGUGAGUGCUGAAGGUCUUAGGAUCGUAAAACUAUGUUAUUAGGGAAGAACAUAUGCGUAAGUAACUGUGCUCAUCUUGACGGUACCUAAUCAGAAAGCCACGGCUAACUCCGUG
RNAcentral lists this ribosomal RNA (497 nucleotides) under uncultured bacterium. RNAcentral's name for it is "partial 16S ribosomal RNA". It matches the Rfam family "Bacterial small subunit ribosomal RNA", at positions 28 to 507 of the family's 1533-position model. The record is from RNAcentral.